Molecule: small nuclear RNA, 181 nt
Filed under: Triticum aestivum (bread wheat)
Lineage: Eukaryota; Viridiplantae; Streptophyta; Magnoliopsida; Poales; Poaceae
Description: snRNA U2
Rfam family: U2 spliceosomal RNA
About the family: U2 is a small nuclear RNA (snRNA) component of the spliceosome (involved in pre-mRNA splicing). Complementary binding between U2 snRNA (in an area lying towards the 5' end but 3' to hairpin I) and the branchpoint sequence (BPS) of the intron results the bulging out of an unpaired adenosine, on the BPS, which initiates a nucleophilic attack at the intronic 5' splice site, thus starting the first of two transesterification reactions that mediate splicing.
Source: Rfam by way of RNAcentral
AUACCUUUCUCGGCCUUUUGACUAAGAUCAAGUGUAGUACAUGUAUUCUUAUGGGUUAUACGCCUACAACGAUAUUAAAUUUAUUAUUUAUGGUAUUAAAUUUAUUAUUUAUGAGAAAGAGUCCAUCAUACUAGCUUGUUAAAGGGGCCCUCAAGUGUCACCUAGGUCUAGCGCACCCCAA